This 422-nucleotide ribosomal RNA is filed under the name uncultured bacterium. RNAcentral's name for it is "bacterial SSU rRNA". It matches the Rfam family "Bacterial small subunit ribosomal RNA", at positions 355 to 769 of the family's 1533-position model. The record is from RNAcentral.
UGGGGAAUUUUGGACAAUGGGCGCAAGCCUGAUCCAGCCAUGCCGCGUGCAGGAUGAAGGCCCUCGGGUUGUAAACUGCUUUUGUACGGAACGAAAAGCCUCUUUCUAAUAAAGAGGGGUGAUGACGGUACCGUAAGAAUAAGCACCGGCUAACUACGUGCCAGCAGCCGCGGUAAUACGUAGGGUGCGAGCGUUAAUCGGAAUUACUGGGCGUAAAGCGUGCGCAGGCGGUCUUGCAAGACAGUGGUGAAAUCCCCGGGCUCAACCGGGGAACGGCCAUUGAGACUGCAAGGCUGGAGUACGGCAGAGGGGGAUGGAAUUCCGCGUGUAGCAGUGAAGUGCGUAGAUAUGCGGAGGAACACCGAUGGCGAAGGCGAUCCCCUGGGCCUGCACUGACGCUCAUGCACGAAAGCGUGGGGAGC